AAUUGGCAAACAUUUUCUCUAAAGCUCAACACAGUAAAUAUUUUAAGCUUUACAGGGCCAUCCCAAACAGGUGCUGGACCAGACCGGGACUCCCUGGGGCCACAGAGCUUCAUUUGAACUAAGUAGAAGACUGCUCUGGUUAGGGAGGCAAUCGGUAAAGAAAAUGAAGCAUCCAUCUAGCAUCAUCCCACUGGGAGGAAAGAAGGAGACCAAAAGAAGGUAAACAAUAGCAAAAAAAUCUCUGAAGGGGUAAAUCAAGAUGGAGUUGAUGGAUAAGGGGGAAUAAAACUACUCCAAUUAUCUGGAAGUUACGCUAAAUGAAAAGCAAGUCUCCAAGAUAGAAGCUGAGCAUGACAAACAAAUGCUGACAAUAUCAGGUAGUGCUUCAGUUCAACAAUGAGGGAUUCUUUCUCCCACAACUUCCCUACUCCAGGAACUUGGAAAGUGGAUCAUCUCUGACAGCUAAAUUCCAAAACAAACAUUUAGCAGAUUGGAACAUAAUUA
This 504-nucleotide long non-coding RNA is filed under the name Pongo abelii (Sumatran orangutan). Its description in RNAcentral is "lincRNA". The record is from RNAcentral. Lineage: Eukaryota; Metazoa; Chordata; Mammalia; Primates; Hominidae.